RNAcentral lists this ribosomal RNA (406 nucleotides) under uncultured bacterium. RNAcentral describes it as "partial 16S ribosomal RNA". It matches the Rfam family "Bacterial small subunit ribosomal RNA", at positions 29 to 526 of the family's 1533-position model. The record is from RNAcentral.
AUUGAACGCUGGCGGCAGGCCUAACACAUGCAAGUCGAACGAGUGGCGGACGGGUGAGUAAUGUCUGGGAAACUGCCUGAUGGAGGGGGAUAACUACUGGAAACGGUAGCUAAUACCGCAUCCCAUCGGAUGUGCCCAGAUGGGAUUAGCUAGUAGGUGGGGUAAAGGCUCACCUAGGCGACGAUCCCUAGCUGGUCUGAGAGGAUGACCGGCAACACUGGAACUGAGACACGGCCCAGACUCCUACGGGAGGCAGCAGUGGGGAAUAUUGCACAAUGGGCGCAAGCCGGAUACGGCCAUGCCGCGUGUAUGAGGAGGGCCUUCGGGUUGUAAAGUACGUUCAGCGGGGAGGCGUUACCCGCAGAAGAAGCACCGGCUAACUCCGUGCCAGCAGCCGCGGUAAUAC